UUUAUUGUUAAUGCAUGGAAUGCAGGCAUUUGCAAAGAAGUACAAACUUCCAUUUACAUUGUUGAGUGAUGAGGGUAACAAGGUGAGGAAAGAAGUACAAACUCCUCUUGAUUUUUUAAUUUUUGUUUAUUUUUAUUUGAUAGUAACAAGUUGUUGCUUCAGAUUUAAUGACUAUAGACUAUAGAUAUUUGUAUACUCUAUCUGUUUGUUGAUGUUACACAACCAGUUAACAGUUGAAUCUAUCCUAAUUCUUAAGUCAUGCAUCAUGAUUAUUACCAACAAGGCAUUGGUGAGCUACUGCCAAAGUUCCUAUAUUAAGCACUAUAUUCAAUUCAUGUGCAGGAGGACUCAUGUUCAAGCUACCUCAAAGCAAUCUACAAUUUGUGACAUCCAUAACAUUCCUCCUUACAACCUAUUCCAAGUAUAUGGCAGCUAAAAAGUACACAUUUAACUGCGGCAAUGUUUUAGGCACUCCAAACACCUUAAGAAGCGUAACGAAAAGACAGGUAAGCCUCAUUAUUUCGUCCUUUCGGAGUUCAAUUUACCAUGUUUUUGUCUUCAUUUGGUUCUCAGGAAACAGUAUGUCUUGAAAAGUGAGGUUCCAGGCUAAUGUCUAAGAUCUAGGUGCAAUCCAUUGACCAAAGUAAAUCGGUGAUGAACUUUGAUCUUAUUAGUACUUCAGUUUUGCAGUUUUGGCAAGUUACCCACAAAUUAAAAAGAUCUUUUCUUUCUAAGAGUUCCAUAUCUAAGUUUGAUUGGUGGUUCAUGGUGGGGAUCUUGAUGGUUAAAGGAAAUGUGUGUUCUUUUUUUUUCUUCUACCCCCUUACUUACAUGUCUUCUUUCUUGAUUUUGAUUGUUUGGUUACAGGACUUCUCAUUCUCAAGAAAUCCAGCAGGGGUCAAUCAAGGACUACAUUUGAACCAAGUUACAACAAGAAAGCUGAUUUUGAAAAUAUCCUCUGCAAGAUGGAUACACAUAGGAGACUUUACAAGACUACAAAAAAGAGGUGGAGAGAGAUGGAUCGUAUUGAUUGAUGAUGAAAAGAGAUAAUUCCAAAAGAGAACAACGUCAUGUCCAAAGCAGUAUCAUAAUCUUGAAGGUGCGGUAGGGGAGGUCAAGCAGCACGUUGCGUUAUGGAAGGGUAAGUGAAACUAUGCUAAUUUUCCAUAUAAGGUUCAGUUUGUCACUAAAAUUGAAAGUCGUGGUGCUGUCAAGUUAUUUGCACACCAUAAAUGUGAAUCUAUGCUACAUUAUAUGAAUGUCAUGGACUGUGACCAGUUAGAUUGUUCAUUUAAACCUUGCUAUAUUCCUUAACUCCACGGACCUGAAGGGUUGUUACAAUAGCAUACAAAGAACCAGAAUUUUGAAGUCAUGAAUCAUGACGAGACAAUGUGUGUUUCAAAGGAAGAGGUUCUUAUUUGAAGAGAAUUCAAGCAAAAACUAUAGGAAGAAAAUAGUUUUAGAAAAUGGUUGGAGUUCAGCGCAUGGGAGA
Long non-coding RNA from Lotus japonicus, 1492 nucleotides. RefSeq lists it as uncharacterized. The transcript has 3 exons. The record is from RefSeq and is a predicted model, not a curated record. Lineage: Eukaryota; Viridiplantae; Streptophyta; Magnoliopsida; Fabales; Fabaceae.